CAGCAGCCGCGGGAAUACGUAGGUCCCGAGCGUUGUCCGGAUUUAUUGGGCGUAAAGCGAGCGCAGGCGGUUAGAUAAGUCUGAAGUUAAAGGCUGUGGCUUAACCAUAGUACGCUUUGGAAACUGUUUAACUUGAGUGCAAGAGGGGAGAGUGGAAUUCCAUGUGUAGCGGUGAAAUGCGUAGAUAUAUGGAGGAACACCGGUGGCGAAAGCGGCUCUCUGGCUUGUAACUGACGCUGAGGCUCGAAAGCGUGGGGAGCAAACAGGAUUAGAUACCCGAGUAGUCCCUGUCUCUUAUACC
Molecule: ribosomal RNA, 301 nt
Filed under: uncultured bacterium
Lineage: Bacteria
Description: partial 16S ribosomal RNA
Rfam family: Bacterial small subunit ribosomal RNA
Source: RNAcentral